GCUUAUGUAGCUCAUUGGCAGAGCGCCCGGCUCCUAUCCGGGAGGAAGCGGGUUCGAACCCCGUCAUAGGCA
Molecule: transfer RNA, 72 nt
Filed under: Acanthopleuribacter pedis
Lineage: Bacteria; Pseudomonadati; Acidobacteriota; Holophagae; Acanthopleuribacterales; Acanthopleuribacteraceae
Rfam family: tRNA
About the family: Transfer RNA (tRNA) molecules are approximately 80 nucleotides in length. Their secondary structure includes four short double-helical elements and three loops (D, anti-codon, and T loops).
Source: Rfam by way of RNAcentral